Molecule: long non-coding RNA, 879 nt
Organism: Homo sapiens (human)
Lineage: Eukaryota; Metazoa; Chordata; Mammalia; Primates; Hominidae
Gene: MYHAS
Product: myosin heavy chain gene cluster antisense RNA
Source: Ensembl
CUUUCUCUCUUCGCCUGCUGCCGUCCAUGUAAGAUGGGACUUGCUCCUCCUUGCCUUCCACCAUGAUUGUGAGGCUUCCUCAGCCACGUGGAACUAUCCAUAAUGGAUUCCUGGGACAUUUUCAGAUCUCCUUCCAGCUUCCUCUUCGCCCUUUCCAAGUCCGCCCGCAGUUUCUUCUCCUGCUCUAAGGAACCCUCAAGCUGAGAAGACACACAGAGACAAGGGCUUGCUCUGUUGCCCAAGCUAAAGUGCAGUGGUGUGAGUGUAGCCCACUGCAUCCUCACACUCCUGUGCUCAAGUGAUCCUCCCACCUCAGCCUCCCAAGUAGCUGGAACUACAAGGAAACAACCCAAUUUGCCAUCUUAAUUUGGAGUCUACUUUUUCUGAAUGACUCAGUUUUCUCUGAUACUUAAUCAAGAUGCAGCCUUGGGGGAAAAUGUCAUGUCCCAGUCUCCCCCAUGUUCCUUUCCCUUCAUCCCACUUUGUCCCCGGGGUCUAGCAUGACUGUGUGUUUGGAUUGGGGAAGUGAAGGCAGGAAAGUCGCUUCCCCAAAUCCGCAUCCACACAGGGUCUUAUGUUAGAGUUGAUGUUAUCUCUAGGCGAGGUUAUGCAAUGUAGUUACAGAGACAUUGUGAUUAGAUUCAAAGAAAAUGAUUUUCAUCAUUGAAGUUUACGCAUGUGCCCAUUUCCUAUUUAUUACAUUCCCUGGCCCAGAGGACAUUAGGCUUUCAUUUUUAAAAAAUGAUCUCAUUAUCUAAUGAAUAAUUAUAUUUCAUAUAUUUUAUUAAUUUAUUAAAUGUAUGCAUUUAAAAUGGCAUAUAAUGUUAAAACUCUAUGUUGGCUACUAUUUAAAAGUAUAUUUACUGGUAAUCUUAAAAA